This 162-nucleotide ribosomal RNA is filed under the name uncultured bacterium. Its description in RNAcentral is "partial 16S rRNA". It matches the Rfam family "Bacterial small subunit ribosomal RNA", at positions 355 to 511 of the family's 1533-position model. The record is from RNAcentral.
UAGGGAAUCUUCCACAAUGGGNGCAGCNGAUGGAGCAACGCCGCGUGAGUGAAGAAGGUCUUCGGAUCGUAAAACUCUGUUGUUAGAGAAGAACAUGCAGGAGAGUAACUGUUCUUGUAUUGACGGUAUCUAACCAGAAAGCCACGGCUAACUACGUGCCAG